AGCUGCACAGUUUUUAUAGUUGAUCCACCAGAGCUUCUGGCCACUGCCGGAGCUGUUGCCGGGCCUGUUCGAAAUCGCAGCUGCUUCAUUAUAUUAUUUCGG
Arachis ipaensis is the source of this 102-nucleotide non-coding RNA. NCBI's taxonomy places the organism in Eukaryota, Viridiplantae, Streptophyta, Magnoliopsida, Fabales, Fabaceae. The record is from RefSeq and is a predicted model, not a curated record.